This is a long non-coding RNA of Metopolophium dirhodum (rose-grain aphid), 1947 nucleotides long. RefSeq lists it as uncharacterized. The record is from RefSeq and is a predicted model, not a curated record. The transcript is spliced from 4 exons. Lineage: Eukaryota; Metazoa; Arthropoda; Insecta; Hemiptera; Aphididae.
CUAACUACUUUACUAGUACAAUGUCAUAAUGGUAAACAAAAUAAAUUAUGAAUGUUAAUUAAAACAAGUAGGUACCUACUCAGGUACUUCAAUUUUAAAUAAUAAUACUUCACAAUGUGCUUUUUUAUAAUACUUUAAUUUGCAAUGUAAAAAUAAUUCAAUUCAAAAUAGGUGUUUUAUUAACUGAAACUAAUAUAAUGCAUGAUAAUUGGAUACCAACUUGGAAACUUCAUUUUCAAAUUGUUUGUCAAACAUGUUAUUCUGCAUAGUUUACAAUUUUUAUUUAAACAUUGUAUACAAAUGGACCACUUACAUUGUCUCAUAGGAUAUCAUAUUAUAAUAAAACAAUACAAUACUAUACAAACACCAAGUCAAAACUUUUAAAUUCAUCUGCAAAUUCUUUAUUUGGUGACUAUUUAAUUUGUAUAGUUAAUUGUAAAAAUUAGUAAUUCAUAAUAAAUUACACUGAACUAUGAGAAACUAUAUCUAUGACUAGACAAUACAAUUUGAUUUGACUAGCAAAUGUUUCAUAACUGUACCAGUACACUGAUAUUUGAUAUUUAUGUAAAUUAUUAUGGAAUCAAAUAUAUUUCUGUAAUAUAAUAUAGUCUCUGAACAAACUACUCAAUUAAUUGUAUUGUAAAGUUAAUUUUUACGAAUAGGGAAAUAUUAAGUCAGCCUACUUAAAGGUUAUGUUAUUAAAUUGUAAUACGAUUCCUCAUAAGUAGCAUUAUGAGGUUGUUAAAAUAGAAAAUUUUACAUUUUUAAAAAAAAUUAAUCAGACAUUUCCAAUUUUUAAUUAACUUAUUUUCAAAAAAUGUAAGAUGAAAAAUUAACUAUGUUUGUACUAAUUGUAUUUGUUGUAUUUGAAGUCCGUAGCCCUUAAAUAAGUUUAAAUGUAGAGUAGUUAAUAUAUUAUGUACAUUUAAUUUUUAUAAUUUUAUCAAGUGUAGUGUGUGUGUCAAGUGUUAAUAUUUUUUGUUGGUUUAUGACCUUACCCAAAUUCUGCAAAAACUUGCAUUACGGAAAUUAGGCCAUACUCCAGUAGAAUUAUUGAUAACUAAUGCACUUAUUAUUUUUGAUAAUUUAAUAUUAAAUUAGUGUCCAUUAUGUGGCUUAUUCACACACAAGAUAGUUUUUACAUUAAAUGCAUAUUAUGUGUAUUAGGUUUUAAUACAAUAGCAAUUAUUUAUUACAAGCAUACAUUUCUUAAAAAAUUAUUUUAUUUCAUAUUUUUAGUAUUAAUUAUUAUAAUCACAUUCUGUUUUGGAAUAUAAAAUUCUUAUGGAUAAAAAAUAUUUAAAAACAUGUUUUAAUAAAAAUGUUGUAUUGUAAACGACUUGAAAUAAAUGUAUGGCUGCUCUAUUCUAAAUACUGUUAUGUAAAAAAAAUGUUAUUAAUUUCUAGCUUCUCCCCUACAAACGGCCUUGUGUGUGAUUUGACUUAUAACUACUCUUAGAAUUAUGUUGGGUUAUGGACUUUUAGACAAAUGAAUAAAAUUAUUUUAUAACUUUUAUUAAAAUUUUUUAAUGUAAACAUUUAUUCAUAAUUUUCAAAAUGUCCUCCAUUUCUCGCUACACAUUUCUCAUGCCUCGUCAUAAUGGAAUUAGUUAGCAGUACCAUAUUCGCUAUAAACUCUAAUCGCCUCUCUGGGUCAGAAGGUUUUAAACCUUGUACAUAGUGUAUUUUAUACGGGUGAUACAAAUUUGUCUUUAAAAUACGGUGUACAGAGGUAUGGCUUAUGUUUGUUUGCCUGGAUAUUGACCUUGUAGAAGCAUGCGGAUCAACACUAAACGCAGCCAAGAUACUAACCGAAUGUCGCUCAUCAGAUGUGACAUUAUUUUUUGAUUUAUGAAGACCAUUUGGAAAGCUACCUAGAGUUAAAAAUAAGAGAAUUUAAUUUUUUUUAAUGUUGAUUGUGAUUGUGUAUGUACUAUUGACUUAUAA